AGCAGCCGCGGUAAUUCCAGCUCCAAUAGCGUAUAUUAAAGUUGUUGCAGUUAAAAAGCUCGUAGUUGAAUUUCGGGGUUAGUAGGCUGGUCGUGCCACCGGUACGUACUGGUCUUACUGAUUCCUCCUUCCUGAUGAACUGUAAUGCCAUUAAUUUGGUGUUGCAGGGAAUCUGGACUGUUACUUUGAAAAAAUUAGAGUGUUUAAAGCAGGCUAACGCUUGAAUACAUUAGCAUGGAAUAAUGAAAUAGGACGUUCGAUCCUAUUUUGUUGGUUUCUAGGAUUGACGUAAUGAUUAAUAGGGAUAGUUGGGGGCAUUAGUAUUCAAUUGUCAGAGGUGAAAUUCUUGGAUUUAUUGAAGACUAACUACUGCGAAAGCAUUUGCCAAGGAUGUUUUCAUUAAUCAAGAACGAAAGUUAGGGGAUCGAAGACGAUCAGAUACCGUCGUAGUCUUAACCAUAAACUAUGCCGACUAGGGAUCGGAUGAUGUUAAUUUUUUAAUGACUCAUUCGGCGCCUUA
This 520-nucleotide small RNA is filed under the name uncultured Glomus. Its description in RNAcentral is "SSU rRNA". It matches the Rfam family "Eukaryotic small subunit ribosomal RNA", at positions 569 to 1090 of the family's 1831-position model. The record is from RNAcentral. Lineage: Eukaryota; Fungi; Glomeromycota; Glomeromycetes; Glomerales; Glomeraceae.